AACGAACGCUGGCGGCAGGCUUAACACAUGCAAGUCGAACGCCCCGCAAGGGGAGUGGCAGACGGGUGAGUAACACGUGGGAACCUUCCUCGCUGUACGGAACAACUCAGGGAAACUUGAGCUAAUACCGUAUACGUCCGAGAGGAGAAAGAUUUAUCGCAUUGAGACGGGCCCGCGUCGGAUUAGCUAGUUGGUAAGGUAACGGCUUACCAAGGCAACAAUCCGUAGCUGAUCUGAGAGGAUGAUCAGCCACACUGGGACGGCGACACGGCCCAGACUCCUACGGGCGGCAGCAUUGGGGAAUCUUGGACAAGGGGCGCAAGCCUGAUCAAGCCAUGCCGCGUGAGUGAAGAAGGCCUUCGGGUUGUAAAGCUCUUUUGUCAGGGACGAUAAUGACGGUACCUGAAGAAUAAGCCCCGGCAAACUUCGUGCCAGCCGCCGCCGUAA
RNAcentral lists this ribosomal RNA (447 nucleotides) under uncultured bacterium. RNAcentral's name for it is "partial 16S ribosomal RNA". It matches the Rfam family "Bacterial small subunit ribosomal RNA", at positions 29 to 523 of the family's 1533-position model. The record is from RNAcentral.